UACGGAGGGUGCAAGCGUUGUCCGGAUUUAUUGGGUUUAAAGGGUGCGUAGGUGGCCCUGCAAGUCCGUGGUGAAAGCCUGCCGCUUAACGGCAGAACUGCCAUGGAUACUACAGGGCUUGAGUCCAGACGAGGUUGGCGGAAUGGAUGGUGUAGCGGUGAAAUGCAUAGAUACCAUCAAGAACCCCGAUUGCGUAGGCAGCUGACUAGGCUGGUACUGACACUGAAGCACGAAAGCGUGGGGAGCGAACAGG
RNAcentral lists this ribosomal RNA (253 nucleotides) under uncultured bacterium. RNAcentral's name for it is "partial 16S ribosomal RNA". It matches the Rfam family "Bacterial small subunit ribosomal RNA", at positions 524 to 776 of the family's 1533-position model. The record is from RNAcentral.